CCGGCUCACCAGAUCAACAGUCGAUUGGUAUUUUUAACACUCAAUUUUAUUUCCUAACUAUACUAUUCAUAUUGGCGAUGGGUCUUCUCAGCCGAGUUACAAAUUGUUUGGUGGUGAUUCUAUUUUGUUCAACUGGAAUUCUCAAAGUCACCGAUAGAAUACACGGUCCAACGCAUAAUUUUAUGAGGAAAGAGUUUACCCGCUUUGUAAAAGUUCAUCCUUUUGCUGUAUACUUUGACUAUCAUAUGGAACCAGUUUAUUAUAUGAAGGUGUUUGGAUGUAUCCAGGUUCUUAGCAGUCUUUUCUUGCUGUUAGGUCCCAGGCCUCUCAAAGUGUUAAGUUCCCUUGCUUGUAUGGUGCUCGUGUUUUUUGAAGUUUUCUCGAUGUACAUGCUCRACGAGWCRUGGCUUAUGUUGUCCCUUCCAAUUGCAUCAUUUGUUCUUCUCUUUGUCAACCUUUUGCUGAUUCAAGAAGAAGAAAGGCCAAAAGUGGAUUAAGUGGUGUUUUUUAUGGGUAUAAUUUUUUUACAAGUAUUAAACAAAUAACCACAGCCUCUAUCACUAUAUUGGUUCAAAUGGAUAAUAGAGCGCAUUGCAAUGCGAAGGGGGAGGGGAGGGUUGUGUAAAAAAAACACCACAACAUGCAAUCCAACCCAGGUCUGACUUAUACGUACACCACCUAUUCAAUGCACACAAGUCAUUUACCUUUGUAAAAGUUACUGUAAAAAAUGCACUUUUAAAAAUCUAUGUUUAUAGCUGGUAUUUGAAAAGUUGGCUAAUAUUUAGCUCUCUUCAUUUGAUUGUGCUAGUAUAAAUGUAUAUAUUUUGAUAAUCACUGAAAUAGAAUUGUCA
Exaiptasia diaphana is the source of this 851-nucleotide RNA transcript. RefSeq lists it as uncharacterized. The transcript has 4 exons. The record is from RefSeq and is a predicted model, not a curated record. NCBI's taxonomy places the organism in Eukaryota, Metazoa, Cnidaria, Anthozoa, Actiniaria, Aiptasiidae.